Molecule: ribosomal RNA, 427 nt
Filed under: uncultured bacterium
Lineage: Bacteria
Description: bacterial SSU rRNA
Rfam family: Bacterial small subunit ribosomal RNA
Source: RNAcentral
AUUGAACGCUGGCGGCAUGCCUUACACAUGCAAGUCGAACGGCAGCACGGGAGCAAUCCUGGUGGCGAGUGGCGAACGGGUGAGUAAUAUAUCGGAACGUGCCCAGUCGUGGGGGAUAACGUAGCGAAAGCUACGCUAAUACCGCAUACGAUCUACGGAUGAAAGCGGGGGAUCGCAAGACCUCGCGCGAUUGGAGCGGCCGAUAUCAGAUUAGCUAGUUGGUGGGGUAAAAGCUCACCAAGGCGACGAUCUGUAGCUGGUCUGAGAGGACGACCAGCCACACUGGAACUGAGACACGGUCCAGACUCCUACGGGAGGCAGCAGUGGGGAAUUUUGGACAAUGGGCGAAAGCCUGAUCCAGCAAUGCCGCGUGCAGGACGAAGGCCUCGGUUGUAACUAGCUUUGUACGGUAACGAAAGGUUUUUAC